RNAcentral lists this ribosomal RNA (500 nucleotides) under uncultured haloarchaeon. Its description in RNAcentral is "bacterial SSU rRNA". It matches the Rfam family "Archaeal small subunit ribosomal RNA", at positions 1 to 507 of the family's 1478-position model. The record is from RNAcentral. Lineage: Archaea; Methanobacteriati; Methanobacteriota; Halobacteria; Halobacteriales; Halobacteriaceae.
UUCCGGUUGAUCCUGCCGGAUCAAUUGCUAUCGCAGUUCCGAUAUAGGAUGCUAGUCGCACGUUUUCAGACUGGUGUGAAAAGCUCAGUGACACGUGGCCAAACUACCCUGUGUAUCGGGACAACCUCGGCAAACUGAGGCUAAUCCCGAAUAGGGCUCACAGCCUGAAGUGGCGGGAGUCCGAAACGCUCCAGCGCCACUGGAUGUGGCUGCGGCCGAUUAGGUUGACGGUGGGGUAACGGCCCACCGUGCCCAUAAUCGGUACGGGUUGUGAGAGCAAGAGCUCGGAGACGGUAUCUGAGACAAGAUACCGGGCCCUACGGUGCGCAGGAGGUGUGAAACCUUUACACUGCAGAGAUAUCUGAAGGGGAUACCGGUGCUAGGGCUCUCAGCCGUCGCUUUUCUGUACUGUUGGGGGUCAAAGAAUAAGGGCUAGCCAAAGACCGAUGCCAUCUGCCGCGCUAAUACCGGCGAGCGCAAGUGAUGUCAGAUUUUAUUGG